UUGUAAUAUUCCUCUUUUAAUGGCAGAUUGACUGGGGGUUAAAUUCCCUGCAUUGGUUGAUGAAUUUUGUCCCGAAAAACAAGCAAUUCUUGUGUCUUUAAUAUGAUUCUUUGCUGGUUUUGUUUCUGCCAUUUCUGCUGCAUUUUCUUUCCUAUCUGUUAAUGCAAAUCUUUGAAUGAUCAUUGGACAUGGGAGAUGGUAAAAAUCCUAACAAGAAGUGAAAAGAAAUAAAAAGGGGGAGGGAAAUGAGAAUAGGCGUUAAAGGCCUUUGGUUGAAGGGAAAAAGGAAAAGAUAUUUGAAGAAGCAGAGUGAUAGGGUUGAAUUGAGGGAGGUCCAAAUCAAGAAGCUGAAGAAGCGGUGCUUGAUGAUCAUGUGAUGGGUAGCACCACCGUUUUUGUCUUUGAACAGCAUCAUUGGAGAUCGCCAUUGUUGAACACUCCAAGUGUAUUUUAUCAAGCGUGAGCUUUUGGAAGUAUUUUAUACUUUGUAAUUUCUUUUCACGUGAUUUUUCCGAAGGGUAUCUAUCAUAUUUAGCUUUGAG
RNAcentral lists this long non-coding RNA (542 nucleotides) under Olea europaea subsp. europaea. The record is from RNAcentral. Lineage: Eukaryota; Viridiplantae; Streptophyta; Magnoliopsida; Lamiales; Oleaceae.